RNAcentral lists this long non-coding RNA (1012 nucleotides) under Androctonus crassicauda. The record is from RNAcentral. Lineage: Eukaryota; Metazoa; Arthropoda; Arachnida; Scorpiones; Buthidae.
GGCAAAGGAAGUGGCCAGACAAGGUUAGAAAUAAUUGAUGGAUAUUUGGUUUUAAAUAAUAAUUCCUUAGAUUCGUCUUAUUUCAGAUCUCCAAACAAAGUCAAUAUGGAGAAUCCAACCGAUGACAAAUUGGGAAAUGACGAGUGGACUGAACUAGCACUUUCACCUCGUCGCAGUGCGAAUGCCAAAACACCUAGUAAAUCCAAGAGGGGAGGACCUGAAAGGUCUCCUCUGCUAUCACGAGAAUGGAAGGGACAGGAAAGCGAACGACUAUUGAUCGAUUAUCGUGACGAACAGGGAGCGAUGGGGGAGAGCGAUGACGACGUAUGGGAUCCCGGCUGGGAUGAUCUCGAACAGGAAACACCCACCAAAGGCUAUCGGCGCAUCAAUACAAAGCGUAAUUAACAUUUCUCCCUUUAUCGCUAAUCUCCCCAUUAUCCCCUUCUGCCUUUUUCCUCUAGCUGUAACUUAUUGUGAAGCUGGACUUCGCCCAAAUGGAAAGAUGAAUAAUUAUUGAUAACCAGUCGAACACGUGAUAUCCUAAAAGGAAGAUAUCUAUAAAAAAGAAUUAUAUAUAUAUAAAUCGUGGUAUGUAUAUAUAUAUAGCACGAUUUAAAUAGCUACAUAUAGUGAAACAGCAGCUGGUUUGCAUUUAAAAUAUAAAGGGGAAAUAGUAAUGAGUUUAAAACAUAUCUAAUUAAAACUGUUUUGCGUUUUAAAAUUCUAAAAAUGCUCAUUCAGUCUACAGUCGAAAGAAAAUUAAAAUUGAGUUUUCGGUCACAUGACGCACUUAAGAUUUAGUGGUUAAGAUUCAAUUUUAGUUGAAAGCUGAGUAAAUGGGAUUUCAUCAACAGUUUUCUCAUUUUAUUUAUUUCUAUCAGACCUUCAUUACUGGAUUAAAUAUUCAGUUUGUUUUAUCUGGCAAAGGUCCUUAGCUUUGUUCUCCAUAUAAAAUAUUCACUUUACACAUUUUUAUAUGGUCGAAUUUUAUGAUUAUUCUACUCAUAUGCGC